This 254-nucleotide ribosomal RNA is filed under the name uncultured bacterium. RNAcentral describes it as "partial 16S ribosomal RNA". It matches the Rfam family "Bacterial small subunit ribosomal RNA", at positions 29 to 295 of the family's 1533-position model. The record is from RNAcentral.
AACGAACGCUGGCGGCAGGCCUAACACAUGCAAGGUCGAACGAGAAGCCACCUUCGGGUGGUGGACAGUGGCAGACGGGUGAGUAACGCGGUGGGAACGUGCCCUUUCGGUUCGGGAUAACCCAGGGAAACUUGGGCUAAUACCGGAUACGGCCCUCCGGGGAAACGAGUUCAUUGGCCGAAAGAAUCGGCCCGCGUCGGAUUAGCUAGUUGGUGGGUAAAGCCUACCAAGGCGACGAUCCGUAGCUGGUCUGA